GAUGAACGCUGGCGGCGUGCCUAAUACAUGCAAGUCGAGCGAACGGACGAGAAGCUUGCUUCUCUGAUGUUAGCGGCGGACGGGUGAGUAACACGUGGAUAACCUACCUAUAAGACUGGGAUAACUUCGGGAAACCGGAGCUAAUACCGGAUAAUAUUUUGAACCGCAUGGUUCAAAAGUGAAAGACGGUCUUGCUGUCACUUAUAGAUGGAUCCGCGCUGCAUUAGCUAGUUGGUAAGGUAACGGCUUACCAAGGCAACGAUGCAUAGCCGACCUGAGAGGGUGAUCGGCCGCACUGGAACUGGGACACCGUCCAGACGCCUACGGGAGGCAGCAGUAGGGAAUCUGCCGCAAUGGGCGAAAGCCUGACGGAGCAACGCCGCGUGAGUGAUGAAGGUCUUCGGAUCGUAAAACUCUGUUAUUAGGGAAGAACAUAUGUGUAAGUAACUGUGCACAUCUUGACGGUACCUAAUCAGAAAGCCACGGCUAACUACGUG
This 497-nucleotide ribosomal RNA is filed under the name uncultured bacterium. RNAcentral describes it as "partial 16S ribosomal RNA". It matches the Rfam family "Bacterial small subunit ribosomal RNA", at positions 28 to 507 of the family's 1533-position model. The record is from RNAcentral.